This 425-nucleotide ribosomal RNA is filed under the name uncultured bacterium. Its description in RNAcentral is "partial 16S ribosomal RNA". It matches the Rfam family "Bacterial small subunit ribosomal RNA", at positions 354 to 796 of the family's 1533-position model. The record is from RNAcentral.
GUGGGGAAUAUUGGACAAUGGGCGAAAGCCUGACCCAGCAACGCCGCGUGAAGGAAGAAGGUUUUCGGAUCGUAAACUUCUAUCCUUGGUGAAGAUAAUGACGGUAGCCAAGAAGGAAGCCCCGGCUAACUACGUGCCAGCAGCCGCGGUAAUACGUAGGGGGCAAGCGUUGUCCGGAAUGAUUGGGCGUAAAGGGCGCGUAGGCGGCCCGGUAAGUCUGAAGUGAAAGUCCUGCUUUUAAGGUGGGAAUUGCUUUGGAUACUGUCGGGCUUGAGUGCAGGAGAGGUAAGCGGAAUUCCCGGUGUAGCGGUGAAAUGCGUAGAGAUCGGGAGGAACACCAGUGGCGAAGGCGGCUUACUGGACUGUAACUGACGCUGAGGCGCGAAAGUGUGGGGAGCAAACAGGAUUAGAAACCCGUGUAGUCC